GCUGUGCAGUGACAGUGUGCCUAUGCAGACAGAGGGAGCAGUGAAUAGCAAUAGGGUGUUUCCACCAUGGUCUUCACUCAGGCCCCGGCUGAAAUCAUGGGCCACCUCCGGAUACGCAGCCUCCUGGCCCGGCAGUGCCUGGCAGAGUUUCUGGGUGUGUUUGUACUCAUGGGGCCCACCUGAAUCCAGCCUUCUCCCUGGCCAUGUGCAUCGUUGGACGCCUCCCCUGGGUCAAGCUCCCCAUUUACAUCUUGGUGCAGUUGCUGUCUGCUUUCUGUGCUUCGGGAGCCACCUAUGUUCUCUACUAUGAUGCCCUACAGAACUAUACAGGUGGGAACCUGACAGUGACUGGCCCCAAGGAGACAGCCUCCAUUUUUGCCACCUAUCCUGCCCCCUAUCUGUCCCUGAACAAUGGCUUCCUGGAUCAGGUUCUGGGCACCGGGAUGCUGAUUGUGGGGCUCUUGGCCAUCCUGGACAGACGGAACAAGGGAGUCCCUGCGGGUCUGGAGCCUGUGGUGGUGGGGAUGCUGAUCCUGGCCCUCGGGUUAUCCAUGGGUGCCAACUGCGGGAUUCCACUCAACCCUGCCCGGGACCUGGGCCCACGUCUCUUCACCUACGUGGCUGGCUGGGGUCCUGAAGUCUUCAGGUGGGAGACAGACUCUCCUGGUGCUGGCCUCCACUCACCUUCCUCUGCUAAGGGCUCUGUCCCUGGGUCCACAGCACUCUGCCUUUAAAAUAGCUCUCUUGGCCUCUUAGGACAGUGUUCUUUCUCCAAGUCAUAUUCUCCCCCUUUCUCCCUUGCUUCCCUCCCAACUUUUCACCGAAACAGUAAGAUUUAGAGGUUGUGUUCUUAGGCAUGCCACAUUACUUCCAUGCACAUUA
This 882-nucleotide small RNA is filed under the name Pan troglodytes (chimpanzee). Its description in RNAcentral is "processed transcript". The record is from RNAcentral. Lineage: Eukaryota; Metazoa; Chordata; Mammalia; Primates; Hominidae.